AUUGAACGCUGGCGGAAGGCUUAACACAUGCAAGUCGAGCGGGGGAAGGUAGCUUGCUACCGGACCUAGCGGCGGACGGGUGAGUAAUGCUUAGGAAUCUGCCUAUUAGUGGGGGACAACAUCUCGAAAGGGAUGCUAAUACCGCAUACGUCCUACGAGAGAAAGCAGGGGAUCUUCGGACCUUGCGCUAAUAGAUGAGCCUAAGUCGGAUUAGCUAGUUGGUGGGGUAAAGGCCUACCGAGGCGACGAUCUGUAGCGGGUCUGAGAGGAUGAUCCGCCACACUGGGGCUGAGACACGGCCCAGACUCCUACGGGAGGCAGCAGUGGGGAAUAUUGGACAAUGGGGGGAACCCUGAUCCAGCCAUGCCGCGUGUGUGAAGAAGGCCUUAUGGUUGUAAAGCACUUUAAGCGAGGAGGAGGCUACUCUAGUUAAUACCUAGGGAUAGUGGACGUUACUCGCAGAAUAAGCACCGGCUAACCCUGUGCCAGCAGCCGCCGUAA
RNAcentral lists this ribosomal RNA (501 nucleotides) under uncultured bacterium. RNAcentral describes it as "partial 16S ribosomal RNA". It matches the Rfam family "Bacterial small subunit ribosomal RNA", at positions 30 to 523 of the family's 1533-position model. The record is from RNAcentral.